CUACGGGCCGCUGCAGUCGAGAAUCUUCCGCAAUGGACGCAAGUCUGACGGAGCGAUGCCGCGUGAUGGAUGAAGUCCCUCUGGGAUGUAAACAUCUUUUAUAGGGGAAGAAAUUUUUGACGGUACCCUAUGAAUAAGAGGUUUCUAAUCUCGUGCCAGCAGAAGCGGUAAUACGAGAGCCUCAAGCGUUAUCCGGAAUUACUGGGCGUAAAGGGUGUGUAGGUGGUUUGAUUAGUCGUGUGUUAAAUAUCUUUGCUUAACAGAGAAAAUGCAUACGAAACGGUCAGACUUGAGUUUGUGAGAGGUGCGUGGAACUCAUGGUGUAGGGGUGAAAUCCGUUGAUAUCAUGGGGAACACCAAAAGCGAAGGCAGCGCACUGGCACAACACUGACACUGAAACACGAAAGCGUAGGUAGCGAAUGGGAUUAGAUACCCCGGUAGUC
Molecule: ribosomal RNA, 443 nt
Filed under: uncultured bacterium
Lineage: Bacteria
Description: partial 16S ribosomal RNA
Rfam family: Bacterial small subunit ribosomal RNA
Source: RNAcentral